UACGUAGGGACCAAGCGUUGUUCGGAUUUACUGGGCGUAAAGGGCGCGUAGGCGGCAAAUCAAGUCAGCUGUGAAAUCUCCGGGCUUAACUCGGAACGGUCAGCUGAUACUGCUUUGCUAGAGUGCAGAAGGGGCAAUCGGAAUUCUUGGUGUAGCGGUGAAAUGCGUAGAUAUCAAGAGGAACACCUGAGGUGAAGACGGGUUGCUGGGCUGACACUGACGCUGAGGCGCGAAAGCUAGGGUAGCAAACGGG
This 253-nucleotide ribosomal RNA is filed under the name uncultured bacterium. RNAcentral's name for it is "partial 16S ribosomal RNA". It matches the Rfam family "Bacterial small subunit ribosomal RNA", at positions 524 to 776 of the family's 1533-position model. The record is from RNAcentral.